This 747-nucleotide ribosomal RNA is filed under the name Salmonella enterica subsp. enterica serovar Infantis. RNAcentral describes it as "partial 23S ribosomal RNA". It matches the Rfam family "Bacterial large subunit ribosomal RNA", at positions 2056 to 2802 of the family's 2925-position model. Lineage: Bacteria; Pseudomonadati; Pseudomonadota; Gammaproteobacteria; Enterobacterales; Enterobacteriaceae. The record is from RNAcentral.
AAGAUGCAGUGUACCCGCGGCAAGACGGAAAGACCCCGUGAACCUUUACUAUAGCUUGACACUGAACAUUGAGCCUUGAUGUGUAGGAUAGGUGGGAGGCUUUGAAGCGUGGACGCCAGUCUGCGUGGAGCCGACCUUGAAAUACCACCCUUUAAUGUUUGAUGUUCUAACGUGGAUCCGUAAUCCGGGUUGCGGACAGUGUCUGGUGGGUAGUUUGACUGGGGCGGUCUCCUCCUAAAGAGUAACGGAGGAGCACGAAGGUUGGCUAAUCCUGGUCGGACAUCAGGAGGUUAGUGCAAUGGCAUAAGCCAGCUUGACUGCGAGCGUGACGGCGCGAGCAGGUGCGAAAGCAGGUCAUAGUGAUCCGGUGGUUCUGAAUGGAAGGGCCAUCGCUCAACGGAUAAAAGGUACUCCGGGGAUAACAGGCUGAUACCGCCCAAGAGUUCAUAUCGACGGCGGUGUUUGGCACCUCGAUGUCGGCUCAUCACAUCCUGGGGCUGAAGUAGGUCCCAAGGGUAUGGCUGUUCGCCAUUUAAAGUGGUACGCGAGCUGGGUUUAGAACGUCGUGAGACAGUUCGGUCCCUAUCUGCCGUGGGCGCUGGAGAACUGAGGGGGGCUGCUCCUAGUACGAGAGGACCGGAGUGGACGCAUCACUGGUGUUCGGGUUGUCAUGCCAAUGGCACUGCCCGGUAGCUAAAUGCGGAAGAGAUAAGUGCUGAAAGCAUCUAAGCACGAAACUUGCCCCGA